UACGUAGGUCCCGAGCGUUGUCCGGAUUUAUUGGGCGUAAAGCGAGCGCAGGUGGUUUAUUAAGUCUGGUGCAAAAGGCGGUGGCUCAACCAUUGUAUGCAUUGGAAACUGGUAGACUUGAGUGCAGGAGAGGAGAGUGGAAUUCCAUGUGUAGCGGUGAAAUGCGUAGAUAUAUGGAGGAACACCGGUGGCGAAAGCGGCUCUCUGGCCUGUAACUGACACUGAGGCUCGAAAGCGUGGGGAGCAAACAGG
This 252-nucleotide ribosomal RNA is filed under the name uncultured bacterium. RNAcentral describes it as "partial 16S ribosomal RNA". It matches the Rfam family "Bacterial small subunit ribosomal RNA", at positions 524 to 776 of the family's 1533-position model. The record is from RNAcentral.